CUGAUGCGUUGUUGGGUAGGGGAGCGUUCUGUAAGCCUGUGAAGGUGGCCUGUGAGGGUUGCUGGAGGUAUCAGAAGUGCGAAUGCUGACAUAAGUAACGAUAAAGCGGGUGAAAAGCCCGCUCGCCGGAAGACCAAGGGUUCCUGUCCAACGUUAAUCGGGGCAGGGUGAGUCGACCCCUAAGGCGAGGCCGAAAGGCGUAGUCGAUGGGAAACGGGUUAAUAUUCCCGUACUUGGUGUUACUGCGAAGGGGGGACGGAGAAGGCUAUGUUGGCCGGGCGACGGUUGUCCCGGUUUAAGCGUGUAGGUGUGUGUUCCAGGUAAAUCCGGUUCACUUUAACACUGAGGCGUGACGACGAGGCACUACGGUGCUGAAGCAACAAAUGCCCUGCUUCCAGGAAAAGCCUCUAAGCAUCAGGUAACAUCAAAUCGUACCCCAAACCGACACAGGUGGUCAGGUAGAGAAUACCAAGGCGCUUGAGAGAACUCGGGUGAAGGAACUAGGCAAAAUGGUGCCGUAACUUCGGGAGAAGGCACGCUGACACGUAGGUGAAGUGAUUUACUCAUGGAGCUGAAGUCAGUCGAAGAUACCAGCUGGCUGCAACUGUUUAUUAAAAACACAGCACUGUGCAAACACGAAAGUGGACGUAUACGGUGUGACGCCUGCCCGGUGCCGGAAGGUUAAUUGAUGGGGUCAGCGCAAGCGAAGCUCCUGAUCGAAGCCCCGGUAAACGGCGGCCGUAACUAUAACGGUCCUAAGGUAGCGAAAUUCCUUGUCGGGUAAGUUCCGACCUGCACGAAUGGCGUAAUGAUGGCCAGGCUGUCUCCACCCGAGACUCAGUGAAAUUGAACUCGCUGUGAAGAUGCAGUGUACCCGCGGCAAGACGGAAAGACCCCGUGAACCUUUACUAUAGCUUGACACUGAACAUUGAGCCUUGAUGUGUAGGAUAGGUGGGAGGCUUUGAAGUGUGGACGCCAGUCUGCAUGGAGCCGACCUUGAAAUACCACCCUUUAAUGUUUGAUGUUCUAACGUGGACCCGUUACCCGGGUUGCGGACAGUGUCUGGUGGGUAGUUUGACUGGGGCGGUCUCCUCCUAAAGAGUAACGGAGGAGCACGAAGGUUGGCUAAUCCUGGUCGGACAUCAGGAGGUUAGUGCAAUGGCAUAAGCCAGCUUGACUGCGAGCGUGACGGCGCGAGCAGGUGCGAAAGCAGGUCAUAGUGAUCCGGUGGUUCUGAAUGGAAGGGCCAUCGCUCAACGGAUAAAAGGUACUCCGGGGAUAACAGGCUGAUACCGCCCAAGAGUUCAUAUCGACGGCGGUGUUUGGCACCUCGAUGUCGGCUCAUCACAUCCUGGGGCUGAAGUAGGUCCCAAGGGUAUGGCUGUUCGCCAUUUAAAGUGGUACGCGAGCUGGGUUUAGAACGUCGUGAGACAGUUCGGUCCCUAUCUGCCGUGGGCGCUGGAGAACUGAGGGGGGCUGCUCCUAGUACGAGAGGACCGGAGUGGACGCAUCACUGGUGUUCGGGUUGUCAUGCCAAUGGCACUGCCCGGUAGCUAAAUGCGGAAGAGAUAAGUGCUGAAAGCAUCUAAGCACGAAACUUGCCCCGA
Molecule: ribosomal RNA, 1607 nt
Filed under: Salmonella enterica
Lineage: Bacteria; Pseudomonadati; Pseudomonadota; Gammaproteobacteria; Enterobacterales; Enterobacteriaceae
Also listed under: 1 other name
Description: partial 23S ribosomal RNA
Rfam family: Bacterial large subunit ribosomal RNA
Source: RNAcentral